GAUACCUCACUCUGAUGAAUAUUCCCUGGGGACUGAGGUUCUCUGUUAGUCCAGUGGUUCGGAUUCCGAGCUCCCACCACAGGAGCUUCAGCCCGACCCCUGGCUCAUGAACCAAGAUCCCACAAGCCACAUGG
Long non-coding RNA from Aethalodelphis obliquidens (Pacific white-sided dolphin), 134 nucleotides. RefSeq lists it as uncharacterized. The record is from RefSeq and is a predicted model, not a curated record. Lineage: Eukaryota; Metazoa; Chordata; Mammalia; Artiodactyla; Delphinidae. The transcript is spliced from 3 exons.